UUAAGCGACUAAGCGUACACGGUGGAUGCCCUGGCAGUCAGAGGCGAUGAAGGACGUGCUAAUCUGCGAUAAGCGUCGGUAAGGUGAUAUGAACCGUUAUAACCGGCGAUUUCCGAAUGGGGAAACCCAGUGUGUUUCGACACACUAUCAUUAACUGAAUCCAUAGGUUAAUGAGGCGAACCGGGGGAACUGAAACAUCUAAGUACCCCGAGGAAAAGAAAUCAACCGAGAUUCCCCCAGUAGCGGCGAGCGAACGGGGAGCAGCCCAGAGCCUGAAUCAGUGUGUGUGUUAGUGGAAGCGUCUGGAAAGGCGCGCGAUACAGGGUGACAGCCCCGUACACAAAAAUGCACAUGCUGUGAGCUCGAUGAGUAGGGCGGGACACGUGGUAUCCUGUCUGAAUAUGGGGGGACCAUCCUCCAAGGCUAAAUACUCCUGACUGACCGAUAGUGAACCAGUACCGUGAGGGAAAGGCGAAAAGAACCCCGGCGAGGGGAGUGAAAAAGAACCUGAAACCGUGUACGUACAAGCAGUGGGAGCACGCUUCGGCGUGUGACUGCGUACCUUUUGUAUAAUGGGUCAGCGACUUAUAUUCUGUAGCAAGGUUAACCGAAUAGGGGAGCCGAAGGGAAACCGAGUCUUAACUGGGCGUUAAGUUGCAGGGUAUAGACCCGAAACCCGGUGAUCUAGCCAUGGGCAGGUUGAAGGUUGGGUAACACUAACUGGAGGACCGAACCGACUAAUGUUGAAAAAUUAGCGGAUGACUUGUGGCUGGGGGUGAAAGGCCAAUCAAACCGGGAGAUAGCUGGUUCUCCCCGAAAGCUAUUUAGGUAGCGCCUCGUGAAUUCAUCUCCGGGGGUAGAGCACUGUUUCGGCAAGGGGGUCAUCCCGACUUACCAACCCGAUGCAAACUGCGAAUACCGGAGAAUGUUAUCACGGGAGACACACGGCGGGUGCUAACGUCCGUCGUGAAGAGGGAAACAACCCAGACCGCCAGCUAAGGUCCCAAAGUCAUGGUUAAGUGGGAAACGAUGUGGGAAGGCCCAGACAGCCAGGAUGUUGGCUUAGAAGCAGCCAUCAUUUAAAGAAAGCGUAAUAGCUCACUGGUCGAGUCGGCCUGCGCGGAAGAUGUAACGGGGCUAAACCAUGCACCGAAGCUGCGGCAGCGACGCUGAUGCGUUGUUGGGUAGGGGAGCGUUCUGUAAGCCUGCGAAGGUGUGCUGUGAGGCAUGCUGGAGGUAUCAGAAGUGCGAAUGCUGACAUAAGUAACGAUAAAGCGGGUGAAAAGCCCGCUCGCCGGAAGACCAAGGGUUCCUGUCCAACGUUAAUCGGGGCAGGGUGAGUCGACCCCUAAGGCGAGGCCGAAAGGCGUAGUCGAUGGGAAACAGGUUAAUAUUCCUGUACUUGGUGUUACUGCGAAGGGGGGACGGAGAAGGCUAUGUUGGCCGGGCGACGGUUGUCCCGGUUUAAGCGUGUAGGCUGGUUUUCCAGGCAAAUCCGGAAAAUCAAGGCUGAGGCGUGAUGACGAGGCACUACGGUGCUGAAGCAACAAAUGCCCUGCUUCCAGGAAAAGCCUCUAAGCAUCAGGUAACAUCAAAUCGUACCCCAAACCGACACAGGUGGUCAGGUAGAGAAUACCAAGGCGCUUGAGAGAACUCGGGUGAAGGAACUAGGCAAAAUGGUGCCGUAACUUCGGGAGAAGGCACGCUGAUAUGUAGGUGAAGUCCCUCGCGGAUGGAGCUGAAAUCAGUCGAAGAUACCAGCUGGCUGCAACUGUUUAUUAAAAACACAGCACUGUGCAAACACGAAAGUGGACGUAUACGGUGUGACGCCUGCCCGGUGCCGGAAGGUUAAUUGAUGGGGUCAGCGCAAGCGAAGCUCUUGAUCGAAGCCCCGGUAAACGGCGGCCGUAACUAUAACGGUCCUAAGGUAGCGAAAUUCCUUGUCGGGUAAGUUCCGACCUGCACGAAUGGCGUAAUGAUGGCCAGGCUGUCUCCACCCGAGACUCAGUGAAAUUGAACUCGCUGUGAAGAUGCAGUGUACCCGCGGCAAGACGGAAAGACCCCGUGAACCUUUACUAUAGCUUGACACUGAACAUUGAGCCUUGAUGUGUAGGAUAGGUGGGAGGCUUGGAAGUGUGGACGCCAGUCUGCAUGGAGCCGACCUUGAAAUACCACCCUUUAAUGUUUGAUGUUCUAACGUUGACCCGUAAUCCGGGUUGCGGACAGUGUCUGGUGGGUAGUUUGACUGGGGCGGUCUCCUCCUAAAGAGUAACGGAGGAGCACGAAGGUUGGCUAAUCCUGGUCGGACAUCAGGAGGUUAGUGCAAUGGCAUAAGCCAGCUUGACUGCGAGCGUGACGGCGCGAGCAGGUGCGAAAGCAGGUCAUAGUGAUCCGGUGGUUCUGAAUGGAAGGGCCAUCGCUCAACGGAUAAAAGGUACUCCGGGGAUAACAGGCUGAUACCGCCCAAGAGUUCAUAUCGACGGCGGUGUUUGGCACCUCGAUGUCGGCUCAUCACAUCCUGGGGCUGAAGUAGGUCCCAAGGGUAUGGCUGUUCGCCAUUUAAAGUGGUACGCGAGCUGGGUUUAGAACGUCGUGAGACAGUUCGGUCCCUAUCUGCCGUGGGCGCUGGAGAACUGAGGGGGGCUGCUCCUAGUACGAGAGGACCGGAGUGGACGCAUCACUGGUGUUCGGGUUGUCAUGCCAAUGGCACUGCCCGGUAGCUAAAUGCGGAAGAGAUAAGUGCUGAAAGCAUCUAAGCACGAAACUUGCCCCGAGAUGAGUUCUCCCUGACUCCUUGAGAGUCCUGAAGGAACGUUGAAGACGACGACGUUGAUAGGCCGGGUGUGUAAGCGCAGCGAUGCGUUGAGCUAACCGGUACUAAUGAACCGUGAGGCUUAACCUU
RNAcentral lists this ribosomal RNA (2902 nucleotides) under human gut metagenome. RNAcentral's name for it is "bacterial LSU rRNA". It matches the Rfam family "Bacterial large subunit ribosomal RNA". The record is from RNAcentral.